CCUACGGGUGGCAGCAGUAGGGAAUCUUCCACAAUGGGCGCAAGCCUGAUGGAGCAACACCGCGUGAGUGAAGAAGGGUUUCGGCUCGUAAAGCUCUGUUGUUGGAGAAGAACGUGCGUGAGAGUAACUGUUCACUCAGUGACGGUAUCCAACCAGAAAGUCACGGCUAACUACGUGCCAGCAGCCGCGGUAAUACGUAGGUGGCAAGCGUUAUCCGGAUUUAUUGGGGGUAAAGCGAGCGUAGGCGGUUGCUUAGUGCUGAUGUGAAAGCCUUCGGCUUAACCGAAGAAGUGCAUCGGAAACCGGGCAACUUGAGUGCAGAAGAGGACAGUGGAACUCCAUGUGUAGCGGUGGAAUGCGGAGAUAUAUGGAAGAACACCAGUGGCGAAGGCGGCUGUCUGGUCUGCAACUGACGCGGAGGCUCGAAAGCAUGGGUAGCGAACAGGAUUAGAUACCCCGGUAGUC
Molecule: ribosomal RNA, 465 nt
Filed under: uncultured bacterium
Lineage: Bacteria
Description: partial 16S ribosomal RNA
Rfam family: Bacterial small subunit ribosomal RNA
Source: RNAcentral